This 296-nucleotide long non-coding RNA is filed under the name Triticum aestivum (bread wheat). RNAcentral's name for it is "long non-coding RNA (TAES_LNC027819)". The record is from RNAcentral. Lineage: Eukaryota; Viridiplantae; Streptophyta; Magnoliopsida; Poales; Poaceae.
AACUGGGGCUAUAGCCCCAGGCUUGGCCCAUCUAGUAGGCAUACAUUCAUUAGUUUCUUUUUUAUAUUUAUAUACAUACAAGGCCCAGCCCCAGGCGUGCAAGCACAGCCCCAUGUUCAGCCCACGUAAGUUCCCACUUCCCAGCCCAAUGGAGAUGUCCUAUGCCACGACUCGAGACCACCACAGUUGGUUUGGUUAGUAGCGAUUUCUAAGGAAUCAAUCGUCCAGUGUUUCGCCUCAUCUUUCGCCCAAUUGAUCAAAAAACGUCUCCGUUCACAGCUGUGUCGCCUCAGCCG